Long non-coding RNA from Danio aesculapii, 742 nucleotides. RefSeq lists it as uncharacterized. NCBI's taxonomy places the organism in Eukaryota, Metazoa, Chordata, Actinopteri, Cypriniformes, Danionidae. The transcript has 3 exons. The record is from RefSeq and is a predicted model, not a curated record.
CGUUUCACCUUCAGUCUGACACCUUUCAAUGAUGGACGACAUGACGCUUGAUGAAAACAACAACACAUGCAGGUCCUGCAGAAUAAAUACAAUAAUGACACUUAAACAGCUCAUUUUCCUGCUCAUCUGCACAUAACUCUGACAGGCAGACCGUUAAAAUGAAGGAAUCCAGCAUGUCAACGUGAUUCACCUCUAAUGAAGUGUUGUGGACUCUAAGCCUGUUGAACAGAAGCAGAGACGUGUGGACAGACACUGACUGUACUGAUGAGGAUCAUCUGCUGCUGCACAGGCUGUAAAGUAUAACCCCUGCUGGACACGGCUCCGGAAGCUCCAGGGGGAGACCGUACUGGUAUCCCCCCUUCUUCAGGCGCGCCUCACACUCACUCACCAUUCACUCAUAUCGCAGAGUUCUGGCUGGCAUUGAACCAGCAACCCCUACAGCCGUGGGGCAGCGCUCUUACCACAGACAUAUUAUCUGGAUGCACACUCAGAUUUGCAAGCUGAGACUGCAUAUGUCAGACUUGCUGUGUUAACAAUCCACCUAAUGGAGCUAGUGAUGUCACUGUGAGGGGUGGGGUUAAGGGUUGGGUUAAGUGUGAGCAAUAAAACCAUUUCAUGCAAUUUGCAUCCAGACCCCUCUCACCACAGAUCUCCUGACUGAACACCUGCUGGAGCUGAUGUUAGACCGCUGAGCUGUGAACUCACAAUAAAGAAUUGAAUAAAAAUAAACUUGUUGUGUUGA